RNAcentral lists this ribosomal RNA (253 nucleotides) under uncultured bacterium. Its description in RNAcentral is "partial 16S ribosomal RNA". It matches the Rfam family "Bacterial small subunit ribosomal RNA", at positions 524 to 776 of the family's 1533-position model. The record is from RNAcentral.
UACGAAGGGGGCUAGCGUUGCUCGGAAUCACUGGGCGUAAAGCGCACGUAGGCGGAUUCCUAAGUCGGGGGUGAAAUCCUGGAGCUCAACUCCAGAACUGCCUUCGAUACUGGGAACCUUGAGUCCGGAAGAGGUGAGUGGAACUGCGAGUGUAGAGGUGAAAUUCGUAGAUAUUCGCAAGAACACCAGUGGCGAAGGCGGCUCACUGGUCCGAUACUGACGCUGAGGCACGAAAGCGUGGGGAGCAAACAGG